GACGAACGCUGGCGGCGUGCUUAACACAUGCAAGUCGAACGGAAAGGCCUCUUUCGGGGGGUACUCGAGUGGCGAACGGGUGAGUAACACGUGAGUAACCUGCCCUUGACUUUGGGAUAACUUCAGGAAACUGGGGCUAAUACCGGAUAGGAGCUCCUGCUGCAUGGUGGGGGUUGGAAAGUUUCGGCGGUUGGGGAUGGACUCGCGGCUUAUCCGCUUGUUGGUGGGGUAGUGGCUUACCAAGGCGUUGACGGGUAGCCGGCCUGAGAGGGUGAGCGGCCACAUUGGGACUGAGAUACGGCACAGACGCCGACGGGAGGCAGCAGUGGGGAAUAUUGCACAAUGGGUGGAAGCCUGAUGCAGCAACGCCGUGUGCGGGAUGACGGCCUUCGGGUUGUAAACCGCUUUCGCUCAUGACGAAGCUUUGUGUGACGGUAGUGGGUAAAGAAGCACCGGCUAACUACGUG
RNAcentral lists this ribosomal RNA (467 nucleotides) under uncultured bacterium. Its description in RNAcentral is "partial 16S ribosomal RNA". It matches the Rfam family "Bacterial small subunit ribosomal RNA", at positions 28 to 507 of the family's 1533-position model. The record is from RNAcentral.